CCUACGGGAGGCAGCAGUGGGGAAUAUUGGACAAUGGGGGGAACCCUGAUCCAGCCAUGCCGCGUGUGUGAAGAAGGCCCUCGGGUUGUAAAGCACUUUCAGUGAGGAAGAACGCCUGGUGGUUAAUACCCAUCAGGAAAGACAUCACUCACAGAAGAAGCACCGGCUAACUCCGUGCCAGCAGCCGCGGUAAUACGGAGGGUGCGAGCGUUAAUCGGAAUUACUGGGCGUAAAGCGCGCGUAGGUGGCUUGAUAAGCCGGUUGUGAAAGCCCCGGGCUCAACCUGGGAACGGCAUCCGGAACUGUCAAGCUAGAGUGCAGGAGAGGAAGGUAGAAUUCCCGGUGUAGCGGUGAAAUGCGUAGAGCUCGGGAGGAAUACCAGUGGCGAAGGCGGCCUUCUGGACUGACACUGACACUGAGGUGCGAAAGCGUGGGUAGCAAACAGGAUUAGAUACCCCAGUAGUC
RNAcentral lists this ribosomal RNA (465 nucleotides) under Vreelandella stevensii. Its description in RNAcentral is "partial 16S ribosomal RNA". It matches the Rfam family "Bacterial small subunit ribosomal RNA", at positions 338 to 795 of the family's 1533-position model. The record is from RNAcentral. Lineage: Bacteria; Pseudomonadati; Pseudomonadota; Gammaproteobacteria; Oceanospirillales; Halomonadaceae.